CUGACCGGAGAGAAUUAUGGACCCAUACAUAAGUCUGGUGAUGCCCAACCUCCAUCCCUGACACCCGAGAGAUCCGAUGACAAGAAAAUUUUGGAAGUCACCAAUGAGAUCAUAGAGCUGCUGACAGGAGAGGUUCCUAUAAGGUGUCAGGAUGUCACUGUCUAUUUCUCCA
Rana temporaria (common frog) is the source of this 172-nucleotide long non-coding RNA. RefSeq lists it as uncharacterized. NCBI's taxonomy places the organism in Eukaryota, Metazoa, Chordata, Amphibia, Anura, Ranidae. The record is from RefSeq and is a predicted model, not a curated record. The transcript is spliced from 3 exons.